UCCGGAUUUAUUGGGCGUAAAGGGCUCGUAGGUGGUUGAUCGCGUCGGAAGUGUAAUCUUGGGGCUUAACCCUGAGCGUGCUUUCGAUACGGGUUGACUUGAGGAAGGUAGGGGAGAAUGGAAUUCCUGGUGGAGCGGUGGAAUGCGCAGAUAUCAGGAGGAACACCAGUGGCGAAGGCGGUUCUCUGGGCCUUUCCUGACGCUGAGGAGCGAAAGCGUGGGGAGCGAACAGGCUUAGAUACCCUGGUAGUCCACGCUGUAAACGGUGGGUACUAGGUGUGGGGUCCAUUCCACGGGUUCCGUGCCGUAGCUAACGCUUUAAGUACCCCGCCUGGGGAGUACGGCCGCAAGGCUAAAACUCAAAGGAAUUGACGGGGCCCCGCACAAGCGGCGGAGCAUGCGGAUUAAUUCGAUGCAACGCGUAGAACCUUACCUGGGUUUGACAUGGAUCGGGAGUGCUCAGAGAUGGGUGUGCCUCUUUUGGGGUCGGUUCACAGGUGGUGCAUGGCUGUCGUCAGCUCGUGUCGUGAGAUGUUGGGUUAAGUCCCGCAACGAGCGCAACCCUUGUUCACUGUUGCCAGCACGUUAUGGGUGGGGACUCAGUGGAGACCGCCGGGGUCAACUCGGAGGAAGGUGGGGAUGACGUCAAGUCAUCAUGCCCCUUAUGUCCAGGGCUUCACGCAUGCUACAAUGGCUGGUACAGAGAGUGGCGAGCCUGUGAGGGUGAGCGAAUCUCGGAAAGCCGGUCUCAGUUCGGACUUGGGGUCUGCAACUCGACCUCAUGAAGUCGGAGUCGCUAGUAAUCGCAGAUCAGCAACGCUGCGGUGAAUACGUUGCC
This 838-nucleotide ribosomal RNA is filed under the name uncultured Actinomycetes bacterium. RNAcentral describes it as "bacterial SSU rRNA". It matches the Rfam family "Bacterial small subunit ribosomal RNA", at positions 544 to 1375 of the family's 1533-position model. The record is from RNAcentral. Lineage: Bacteria; Bacillati; Actinomycetota; Actinomycetes.